Molecule: ribosomal RNA, 253 nt
Filed under: uncultured bacterium
Lineage: Bacteria
Also listed under: 1 other name
Description: partial 16S ribosomal RNA
Rfam family: Bacterial small subunit ribosomal RNA
Source: RNAcentral
UACGUAGGUGGCAAGCGUUAUCCGGAAUUACUGGGCGUAAAGCGCACGCAGGCGGUCUUUUAAGUUUGACGUGAAAGCUCCCGGCUUAACUGGGAGAGGUCGUUGAAUACUGGAAGACUUGAGGCAAUGAGAGGGGUGUAGAAUUCCCGGUGUAGUGGUGGAAUGCGUAGAUAUCGGGGGGAAUACCAGUGGCGAAAGCGGCACCCUAGCGUUAGCCUGACGCUCAUGUGCGAAAGCGUGGGGAGCGAACGGG